RNAcentral lists this ribosomal RNA (607 nucleotides) under Geitlerinema sp. SQRC. Its description in RNAcentral is "bacterial SSU rRNA". It matches the Rfam family "Bacterial small subunit ribosomal RNA", at positions 161 to 797 of the family's 1533-position model. Lineage: Bacteria; Bacillati; Cyanobacteriota; Cyanophyceae; Geitlerinematales; Geitlerinemataceae. The record is from RNAcentral.
UGCUAAUACCCGAUGUGCCGAGAGGUGAAAAGGUGAAAUCCGCCUGAAGAGGAGCUCGCGUCCGAUUAGCUAGUUGGUGGGGUAAAAGCUUACCAAGGCGACGAUCGGUAGCUGGUCUGAGAGGAUGAGCAGCCACACUGGGACUGAGACACGGUCCAGACUCCUACGGGAGGCAGCAGUGGGGAAUUUUCCGCAAUGGGCGAAAGCCUGACGGAGCAACGCCGCGUGGGGGAAGAAGGCCUUUGGAUUGUAAACCCCUUUUCUCAGGGAAGAAGAUCUGACGGUACCUGAGGAAUAAGCCUCGGCUAACUCCGUGCCAGCAGCCGCGGUAAUACGGAGGAGGCAAGCGUUAUCCGGAAUUAUUGGGCGUAAAGCGUUCGUAGGCGGCUGUUCAAGUCUGCUGUCAAAGACCGAGGCUCAACCUCGGGUCGGCAGUGGAAACUGAAUAGCUAGAGUGCGGUAGGGGUAGAGGGAAUUCCCAGUGUAGCGGUGAAAUGCGUAGAUAUUGGGAAGAACACCGGUGGCGAAAGCGCUCUACUGGGCCGAACCUGACGCUGAGGGACGAAAGCUAGGGGAGCGAAUGGGAUUAGAUACCCCGGUAAAUCCA